RNAcentral lists this ribosomal RNA (451 nucleotides) under uncultured bacterium. Its description in RNAcentral is "bacterial SSU rRNA". It matches the Rfam family "Bacterial small subunit ribosomal RNA", at positions 28 to 479 of the family's 1533-position model. The record is from RNAcentral.
GAUGAACGCUGGCGGCGUGCUUAACACAUGCAAGUCGAACGAAGCUGCUUAAAGGAAGUUUUCGGAUGGAAUUUAGGUAGACUUAGUGGCGGACGGGUGAGUAACGCGUGGAUAACCUGCCUUAUACAGGGGGAUAACGGAGAGAAAUUUCCGCUAACACCGCAUAAGACCACAGCACCGCAUGGUGCAGGGGUAAAAUAUUUAUAGGUAUAAGAUGGAUCCGCGUCCGAUUAGCUAGUUGGUGAGGUAGAGGCUCACCAAGGCGACGAUCGGUAGCCGGCCUGAGAGGGUGAACGGCCACAUUGGGACUGAGACACGGCCCAAACUCCUACGGGAGGCAGCAGUGGGGAAUAUUGGACAAUGGGGGAAACCCUGAUCCAGCGACGCCGCGUGAGUGAAGAAGUAUUUCGGUAUGUAAAGCUCUAUCAGCAGGGAAGAAAANGACGNUACC